Molecule: long non-coding RNA, 1368 nt
Filed under: Homo sapiens (human)
Lineage: Eukaryota; Metazoa; Chordata; Mammalia; Primates; Hominidae
Description: HSALNT0091901
Source: RNAcentral
CUUCGCUGACUCUCUUUUCGGACUCAGCCCGCCUGCACCCAGGUGAAAUAAACAGCCUUGUUGCUCACACAAAGCCUGUUUGGUGGUCUCAUCUCACGGACGUGCAUGAAAGAAGGGAAUGGAAGGCUUCUACCAAGUCCCUACAUGAUCAGGAACAAGAUAAUACAGGGAUGAAGAAGCCAGACAUCUGAUCCCAAAGAGCCAACAGAAAGGAAUGGAGAGAGAAAUGGUCAUCCCCUCAAAGGAAGGACAAGUUUGGAAUUCUGUGGUUAUUUCUGCCUGGUUGGGACUGAAUGAUGUGAGCUGAUGGUCACCAAGGAAAUCUUUACAGGGAGGUAAUGAAUUGGGAAAUAAGACAAGAACUAAGGCAGACAAGAAAUCUAAGUAUCACCUACAUAAUCGAUAGAGAUUGAUUGUUCACAUCACUUGUGAUCUCAAGCGAUCUCUAUGGAAUCAGUUGCAUUAUCUGCCACAAAUCAUCAUGUCAGCAGGGUUUUCAUUCUCAGUCAAAAUUACAGACUUCUUACCUAUUUGUGGGGAAAGUGAACACAGGAGUGUGCUGAUGAGUUUCAAAGCUGAACACAUUGAUUCAUUUCCAGGGAAGAAAAAGCAGCUACCUGGUGAUUACCACAGAGGGGAUUUCGAUCAGCAUGGUGAGAGGAGUGAUUGCAUUUCCUCCGCAUCCACUCAGUCUUCCCUUUGGCUUUUGAGAUAUGCAGAGGACUGAAAGGGCACAUGGGAGCACACACUUCCCAGUUGUUUUGUGGAGACAUGUGACGAAUUCUGGCCAAUAAGCUGUGAGUAGAAGUAAUGUGUCAUUUUCAGAUUCUCAUACUGAGGCAAUGAGAAGCCCCUGCAUAACUGUGGGGGCCAUGUGUGGAAAUGGUGAAGACACAUGUAUCAGAGGCUGUGAUGUACCACCUAGACUGCCACUUUGGAAGGAUCACUCACUUCUCAGCUAAGUUGCUAACUGGCUGCAGGCUAUAGACAGCUGAAUACCUCUUUGGGAAUUGCACUAGCUAAAGCGAGUUUCCAGGUCCAAGGUUACACUGUCCGUAUAAGACAUGCUGUAUUCAAGGUACAAUCCUCUUGCUUCAACAGAGAUAACUGAAGAAAGAAUGUCAAGACUCCUUGGGGCAACUGCAUUUAAAAUCAAUAUUUCCCCCUGCCUAAUUCUGCUUCUCUCCCUCCCUUACGGAUGUUGUUCCCAAGGGCACCCCCCACCAGCCCUUUUGUAUGUGUAUAUCUACCUCAGUCUGUUUUCCAGGGAACCAUAACAAAGAUUAAAAAUUUACAGAAGAAUUUUUAAUCUUUGUUCUGGUUCCCUAGGGAAUUGAACAAUGAGAACACUUGGACACAGGAAGGGGA